This is a non-coding RNA of Wilcoxina mikolae CBS 423.85, 72 nucleotides long. The record is from the annotation of a GenBank genome assembly. Lineage: Eukaryota; Fungi; Ascomycota; Pezizomycetes; Pezizales; Pyronemataceae.
GGGGCUGUAGCGCAGUGGUAGCGCGUUCGCUUUGCAUGCGAAAGGUCUUGGGUUCGAUCCCCAACUGCUCCA